This 77-nucleotide transfer RNA is filed under the name Terriglobus saanensis SP1PR4. RNAcentral describes it as "tRNA-Arg (TCT) (tRNA-Arg-TCT-1-1)". It matches the Rfam family "tRNA". Rfam says of the family: Transfer RNA (tRNA) molecules are approximately 80 nucleotides in length. Their secondary structure includes four short double-helical elements and three loops (D, anti-codon, and T loops). Further hydrogen bonds mediate the characteristic L-shaped molecular structure. tRNAs have two regions of fundamental functional importance: the anti-codon, which is responsible for specific mRNA codon recognition, and the 3' end, to which the tRNAs corresponding amino acid is attached (by aminoacyl-tRNA synthetases). tRNAs cope with the degeneracy of the genetic code in two manners: having more than one tRNA (with a specific anti-codon) for a particular amino acid; and 'wobble' base-pairing, i.e. permitting non-standard base-pairing at the 3rd anti-codon position. Lineage: Bacteria; Pseudomonadati; Acidobacteriota; Terriglobia; Terriglobales; Acidobacteriaceae. The record is from RNAcentral.
GGACGAGUAGCUCAGCUGGAUAGAGCAUCUGCCUUCUAAGCAGAGGGUCGCAGGUUCGAGUCCUGCCUCGCCCACCA